This 201-nucleotide long non-coding RNA is filed under the name Olea europaea (common olive). Its description in RNAcentral is "long non-coding RNA (OEUR_LNC005710)". The record is from RNAcentral. Lineage: Eukaryota; Viridiplantae; Streptophyta; Magnoliopsida; Lamiales; Oleaceae.
CGAGGUGAAAGUCCAUUCGAGAGGGAAGUGGGAGUUGACAUUUCCUCCAAUUAUGCAUCUGGCCGACCCUCCGAGGUCCAAAUGAGCCAUGAUAACUUUCCACCUCCGUAUGAGCAAGACCCAAGACAAAGGAGAGCAGGAAGUGUUUUUGACAGAAUCAGCCCUGCCGAACCAAGGCCCAGUCAACAGCGAGCUCAGCAG